RNAcentral lists this long non-coding RNA (618 nucleotides) under Gossypium barbadense (sea-island cotton). RNAcentral describes it as "long non-coding RNA (GBAR_LNC003430)". The record is from RNAcentral. Lineage: Eukaryota; Viridiplantae; Streptophyta; Magnoliopsida; Malvales; Malvaceae.
AUCUCCUCCAUCUAUCAUGGCUGAACUCUGUAUUCCAUUCAAGCCUCCUGCAAGACCUCUAAGGUCCCCGAGGUUAGCUUUCGGUGGCACAUUCCCGGCCAAUGUGUUUGUGUUUCCUGGAAUCGCAUUGAGAGCAAGAUUACGAUUUAUCGAUUUCCAAAAUACAUCAAUGGUGAAAUGUAUUUAGAACUUCAAUAGUGAGAUAUAGACUGGUACCUGUAAUUGAACCAACAAUAAUGAGACGCUUAUAAGGAUAAUCUGACUGCUUGAGGUCAUCUAGGAGUAGCCUUGCUAGGAGGAAAUGACCGAGAUGGUUUGUUCCGACGCUGAGUUCGAACCCUUCGGCAGUAUAAGUCGGUUCCUUAGCAGUUGGCAAGUACACAGCAGCAUUGCAAACCAAAGCAUCAAGCGGCCUGCCCGAGCGACGGAAGGUAUUCGCAAAUUGCCGCACACUUUCAAGCGACGCAAGGUCCAAAUGCAUCACGGAAUAAUUCUCCUUCGUAAUGCCAACCGAUUUAGCAGCUUUCUCAGCCUUGAGAAAAUUUCUACACGCCAUGAUUACAUGCCAUUCCCCUGUCUCGGCAAGAGCCUUGGCCGUCGCUAAGCCUAAACCGGACG